GACGAACGCUGGCGGCGUGCUUAACACAUGCAAGUCGAACGGAAAGGCCCUGCUUUUGUGGGGUGCUCGAGUGGCGAACGGGUGAGUAACACGUGAGUAACCUGCCCUUGACUUUGGGAUAACUUCAGGAAACUGGGGCUAAUACCGGAUAGGAGCUCCUGCUGCAUGGUGGGGGUUGGAAAGUUUCGGCGGUUGGGGAUGGACUCGCGGCUUAUCAGCUUGUUGGUGGGGUAGUGGCUUACCAAGGCUUUGACGGGUAGCCGGCCUGAGAGGGUGACCGGGCACAUUGGGACUGAGAUACGGCCCAGAAUCCUACGGGAGGCAGCAGUGGGGAAUAUUGCACAAUGGGCGGAAGCCUGAUGCAGCAACGCUGCGUGCGGGAUGACGGCCUUCGGGUUGUAAACAGAUUUCGCAUGUGACGAAGCGUGAGUGACGGUAAUGGGUAAAGAAGCACCGGCUAACUACGUG
RNAcentral lists this ribosomal RNA (468 nucleotides) under uncultured bacterium. RNAcentral describes it as "partial 16S ribosomal RNA". It matches the Rfam family "Bacterial small subunit ribosomal RNA", at positions 28 to 507 of the family's 1533-position model. The record is from RNAcentral.